This 199-nucleotide long non-coding RNA is filed under the name Sorghum bicolor (sorghum). RNAcentral's name for it is "long non-coding RNA (SBIC_LNC011157)". Lineage: Eukaryota; Viridiplantae; Streptophyta; Magnoliopsida; Poales; Poaceae. The record is from RNAcentral.
AGGGCUCAUCUUUAUAGUCCGUGGAGCCGGACUUUUCUCCCAUCAAUGUUUGCUUGAUGAUGGCUCAUCCGUCUUGGGAGGAGGAGAUGGUUGGACCUUCUUGGGCUUCCAUUCUAGGUGGAUCACCUUGGGCAGUGUGGCAGUUUGUUCAACCUUUUCUUUUACCUUCCACACUGUCUUCUUUUGUGAGGGUUUGGGG